Pantherophis guttatus is the source of this 279-nucleotide non-coding RNA. Lineage: Eukaryota; Metazoa; Chordata; Lepidosauria; Squamata; Colubridae. The record is from RefSeq and is a predicted model, not a curated record.
GUCAUCAGCACCAAGAUUGGCCUCAGCUUCAAGAGAAAAAAAUUUACAUAAACGGAGCGGGCAACAUUUUGAAGAUAUUUUCCUAGGAUUCUGUAACGGCAGCUGCUAUCCUGGAACAAUUGUUACUUCUUGUUAGAAAUUGUAGACUGAUGGCAGCAAGCAACAAGUAAAUCUAUAAGAAGCUGUAGCAGAAGAUGGGGGAAACCCAGCCCAAAUUAUGAAAUAACUCUUCAAGGAGCAAAAAAGCACCAAGAAGGGAAAAUAAAUUCUUCAUGCACC